UCCAGACUCCUACGGGAGGCAGCAGUGGGGAAUAUUGCACAAUGGGCGCAAGCCUGAUGCAGCCAUGCCGCGUGUGUGAAGAAGGCCUUCGGGUUGUAAAGCACUUUCAGCGAGGAGGAAGGUGGUGAACUUAAUACGUUCAUCAAUUGACGUUACUCGCAGAAGAAGCACCGGCUAACUCCGUGCCAGCAGCCGCGGUAAUACGGAGGGUGCAAGCGUUAAUCGGAAUUACUGGGCGUAAAGCGCACGCAGGCGGUUUGUUAAGUC
RNAcentral lists this ribosomal RNA (267 nucleotides) under Serratia marcescens. RNAcentral describes it as "partial 16S ribosomal RNA". It matches the Rfam family "Bacterial small subunit ribosomal RNA", at positions 330 to 589 of the family's 1533-position model. Lineage: Bacteria; Pseudomonadati; Pseudomonadota; Gammaproteobacteria; Enterobacterales; Yersiniaceae. The record is from RNAcentral.